This 492-nucleotide ribosomal RNA is filed under the name uncultured bacterium. RNAcentral's name for it is "partial 16S ribosomal RNA". It matches the Rfam family "Bacterial small subunit ribosomal RNA", at positions 28 to 507 of the family's 1533-position model. The record is from RNAcentral.
GAUAAACGCUAGCUACAGGCUUAACACAUGCAAGUCGAGGGGAAACGACAUCGAAAGCUUGCUUUUGAUGGGCGUCGACCGGCGCACGGGUGAGUAACGCGUAUCCAACCUGCCCACCACUUGGGGAUAACCUUGCGAAAGUAAGACUAAUACCCAAUGACGUCUCUAGAAGACAUCUGAAAGAGAUUAAAGAUUUAUCGGUGAUGGAUGGGGAUGCGUCUGAUUAGCUUGUUGGCGGGGUAACGGCCCACCAAGGCGACGAUCAGUAGGGGUUCUGAGAGGAAGGUCCCCCACAUUGGAACUGAGACACGGUCCAAACUCCUACGGGAGGCAGCAGUGAGGAAUAUUGGUCAAUGGACGAGAGUCUGAACCAGCCAAGUAGCGUGCAGGAUGACGGCCCUAUGGGUUGUAAACUGCUUUUAUAAGGGAAUAAAGUGAGUCUCGUGAGACUUUUUGCAUGUACCUUAUGAAUAAGGACCGGCUAAUUCCGUG